CUCCCUGAAAACGAAGAACAAAAGCAGUCAAUAUGGUGUUAUCCAGUACACUGGGAAACAAUGUUGCGUGUAGUGUACUGCAGUCAAUAUUGUACUUACAUCCACAUAUGCUCGUCUGACCUCUUUGUUUCUUUGAGAGUUUCUCUCAAACAGCACCUUAUAAAGUUGUUUCAUUCUGAUUUGGUUUUGCUUGAGAAUGCGAGUCAAUGUGGACAGACUGACUUGUUGAAUGUUGUUGAAUAUGGUGUUGUCUUGGAUGAUGUGGCUUUGAAUUUCUCGUAAUCUGAUUUCAUUAUUUUCCAAAACCAAGUUUACAAUGGCAGCUUCCUGUACCCUGGUGAACAUUUGGCCCCUUCCUCCACCAUGGUUGCGUCUCUCAGUCCUUUAGAAAAACAAAAACAAAAAUGUAGGGCUUGGACAAUGCAGCCUAAAGAUAUUUCCCCCACAGUAGAGUAAAUUCUACAGGAAAUUUGUGCAGUUAGUGUAUGACAUCAGCCAUUCAUGAAGUAAACAGGUGUCACCCAACUGAUACACUAUGACAUGGGGUGUACUACAUAGUGUGAAAUUUUUUUUGGUUACAUACCUGUACUCCAGUCUAAAUGUCCGGAUGACACAGGCGACAGUGAAACGGCUCAAGUUGGGCUGCACUCUCUGUCCAGCCUCUCGCAUUGUCAGCCCAUGGUUGAUGACAUGAUCAACUAAGGUUGCUCUGAUUUCAUUUGAAAGUUGUUGUCUUCUUUGGCCAUGAACUCCUCUACCAGCUCUACCCCUACCUCUCACUCUUCCUCCCCCUCUCAUUCUCACCCUCCCUCUUCCUCUUCCUCACUCUGCAACGACUUCCAUUGUUGUUGUAAAACAAAAGGUGCUCACCUGUGGUCUUUUCACAGUGCUUACUUCCUGAUUGAAGUGGUAACCAUUAACCAUUGAGGUGUUUGGCCAGGUGGCACAUGUAUUGGCCAAUUAGCUCAUGUAGUGUCAUUUUGAAUGGCAGUGUUUUGAAAUGGCAAACAUGUGACUUUAUGUGAGAUUGUUGUGUCUUAUGCAGAGAACCGUGUGCAGUGCAUUUAAAAAGUGCCAUUUUGAAUUGCAAAAUGUGUGUAAAGCAGAAAAUGUUUUUAGACUUUUGGAGACUUGAGAAGAGGUUUUGCUCUCUGUGUGUCAGUUUAAAUAAUUGUGCUGUGCAUGUCAUUUUAGUGUGUUAGCAAUUGGAAAAAACUGUAGCCAAAACUGUGCCAGUCUUUCAUUUCCAGGGGUGUUUGGGUGGUGCUGUUUUUUCAAUAGAAACCUCUGAAGUACAACUCUUCUUUACCCUUGAAUUACUGGACUGUACAUUUGUAAAUAUCAUCACUGUUGCACUGUGGGCAUACAGUACAAUACUGUAAAUCAAACCAUCUACUGUCCAACUGUGUGCCCAAAACCCAAAGAACUAUGCUGCUGGAUCCCCCAUUCCACUAUUGAACUGAGUAACAGGUUAGAUUCUCUCAUGGCCUUAAACAACCCUAGGCCUUAUUUGAAUGACUUAGCAUGGAGUAUUAUUUUACCUUUGUUCUGUUACAUCACACAUUCCUUGGCUAUGUUCUCAAAAUAUUGCAUGAGGACACCUGUUAAAUUUCCAUGUAUUGGUUCAACAACACCAGUGUGUAUAAAGUAGGACUGAGCCCAGUAGACUACAUUACUGCCCUACCAAUCAAAAAGGCAGUAACUGCUAAUUUGGUCGAAAACGAUUUGAUGUCAUUGAAGAGAGAGUAUGCAGGUGAAGUUGCUGUACUAAAUGACCGCGUAAAGGUAUUUUAUUUUUCUUACCUGGUCCAUAUAAGUGUUGGCAUCUGAACAUGAAAGAGCAUUUCCUGUAAUUCCAGUCCACACAGCUGAACUGUCAGCCAUGGGGGCUAGACUGAGCGCCAGUGAGAGCCAGGUGAAGGAGCUGCAGAAAGAUGGGGUGAACCAGAGAGUGGAGAUGAGUGUCACAAAGACUGAACUGCAGUUCCACAAAAACAAGAUGGAGGAACUGGAGAGAGAGAGAAGACAGUUUUGGGGGGCAGAGUGACAGCCACCGAGAGAGGUGGAGGAACUGAAAACAGUCAAUUCAGAGAUACCAAAGGUGGCAUUCUCUGCUGCUUUAGGUAGUACAGUGGGACCCUUCAAUUCUGAAACCAUUCUGAAACCACCAACAUCGGCCAGGCCUACUGACAUCACCCUGAUUUCCUCCAAUGUCAUCACUAACAUCAGCCAGGCCUGCAUUCCAGUUACAGGUUUCUUCACAGCACCAGUGAGAGGACUCUACUUCUUCAGAUUCACAAGCCAUGGUGACCGCUCAUCAUCUUACGUGGGUGCAGCCUUGUACAGGAAUGACCAGAUAAUAAUGCAGGCACAUCAGUAUAACCAUGGAUGGGAUCAGGAUGUAUCCAGUGCUGUAACUCUAGAGCUGGAGGAGGUGGAUUUGGCCUACCGCGCCUCCACUUUACUUACAGAUUACAUGAUGACUCAAAAAACCACAACAUCUUCAGUGGAUUCCUGAUCUUCCCUAUGUAAUGAUGCAAAAUGAUGCCUAGACAUGGGGUACUCUGAGCUCCAAUUGUUUCUGUAUACAAAAAUGCAAGUAUUUUUGUGUCAUUUACUGUCAGUGUUGAAUUUCGUUUAGGAAAAUAUCUGCUCAUUUUUUAAAUUCUACACAUUUGAUGAAUGGUGUUAAGUAAGUGAGGGAAGGGAAUUUUGAGUUUGCACUUUUGAAGAAAGAGAGAGAAAGAAAGAAAAAAGGGAAGCGAGAGAGAGAGAGUUGGGGUGAGAGGGGGGAUGAGAGAGAGAGGAAGGAGGUAGAUUUGUAAGAGCUCAGCUGUGUCCUUCAGAUGUAGCUCUGUCCCUCUGUGGGGAGCAGCUGCACCAUGACACACACACAGGCCUGGGCUACAUUCAAGAUCACAACGCUCUGGAAUGUUUCUAUUUUCUGUUUACCAUAAUACAGAGGAGGCUGCUGGGAGCAGCUAAAGGAGGACCGGUGCACUGGAAUGGCUGGAAUGGAAUUAAUGGAACGGAGUCAAACGUGUUGUUUCCAUAUGUUUGACAUGUUUGAUACCGUUCCAUUGAUACUGUACCAUUUCAGCCAUUACAAGGAGCCCUUCCUCCUAUAGCUCCCUCCACCAGCCUCCUCUGCCGUAAAGCUUAGAAACAUUUUGCUCUGUAGCACUAUGGUUUAACUUAGACAACCUUACGAAAACCACCGCUGACAGAUGCUCAUUCAGUAACAACAUCCAGUAGGCCUAUAUUCAACACAAACACCAUAAUACACAGUUAUGUUGUGACUUUUGGCUAAUUAAUAUUCAAUAUAAUGUAUUGAUUAAUUACUGGAAUAAUUAAAUUAUCUAAUUUAUUUGAUUAAUUUGGUAAUCCUAUCCAAAUGAAUAUUAGAGGGGCAUCAUUAAGGGUUGGAUGUAGAGAAACCCUUGAAUUAACUCUAUCAGUAGUAGUCGUUUAAACGUUAUAUCAUUAAUUACUAUAUCAACAAUAUAAUCCUGUCAAUUUGACUAUAUUCUCAUUCUGAAUAGCCGAUAAACUCUGGCGUCUGGAAGACUGACACUGAGAGUGUCAGUCUUUUGACACAGAGUGGUAAAACAGGAAGGGAGAGGAGUGUAGUUUUUACCUUGUGAUAGGGCGUAAACUACUCCGUAAAAGGAAGGACUGCCCCCCUUUCACCCCAUUUAAUGCAGGCACAGGGAAUACCUGUUCUCCAACACCUACAACUGAGGGGCUUUUGUCAAUAAAAA
Salmo salar (Atlantic salmon) is the source of this 3761-nucleotide long non-coding RNA. RefSeq lists it as uncharacterized. Lineage: Eukaryota; Metazoa; Chordata; Actinopteri; Salmoniformes; Salmonidae. The record is from RefSeq and is a predicted model, not a curated record.